RNAcentral lists this non-coding RNA (27 nucleotides) under Rattus norvegicus (Norway rat). The record is from RNAcentral. Lineage: Eukaryota; Metazoa; Chordata; Mammalia; Rodentia; Muridae.
AAAAUACCCCUUGCCCUAGGAAUAAAG